Molecule: ribosomal RNA, 374 nt
Filed under: uncultured bacterium
Lineage: Bacteria
Description: bacterial SSU rRNA
Rfam family: Bacterial small subunit ribosomal RNA
Source: RNAcentral
AUUGAACGCUGGCGGCAUGGCUAAAACAUGCAAGUCGAGCGCGAAAGAGGAGCAAUCCUCCAGUAGAGCGGCGAAAGGGUGAGUAAUACGGUUUCUAUGUACCCCGAGGUCAGGGAUAGCCCUGGGAAACCUGGAGUAAUACCUGAUGUGGUCCUCAUGUCAAAGUGAGAAUCAAAGGCUUGCCGCCUUGGGAGCAGGGAACGUCCUAUCAGGUAGUUGGUGAGGUAAGGCUCACCAAGCCAAUGACGGGUAGCGGGUGUGAGAGCAUGGCCCGCACAUCGGGACUGAGACACUGCCCGGGACUUCUACGGAAGGCUGCAGUAACGAAUCUUCCACAAUGCGCGAAAGCGUGAUGGAGCAAUGCCGCGUGCAGG